UCAAACUUGGUCAUUUAGAGGAAGUAAAAGUCGUAACAAGGUUUCCGUAGGUGAACCUGCGGAAGGAUCAUUAACGAGUAACGGGGUUUCUUUUCAAGAGCCCCUACUCCCACACCAUGUGUACCUUACCUUUUCGUUGCUUUGGUGGGCCGCACCGGUAAAACGGGGCGCCGAUCGCUCGGAGAGCGCCCGCCAGAGGACCAACCAAAACUCUUUUGUAAACAGAAUUUUCUGAGUUAAUUUCUUAAUUGAAUUAAAACUUUCAACAACGGAUCUCUUGGUUCUGGCAUCGAUGAAGAACGCAGC
This 306-nucleotide unclassified non-coding RNA is filed under the name uncultured fungus. RNAcentral describes it as "partial contains small subunit ribosomal RNA, internal transcribed spacer 1, and 5.8S ribosomal RNA". The stretch from base 1 to 73 matches the Rfam family "Eukaryotic small subunit ribosomal RNA", at positions 1759 to 1831 of the family's 1831-position model. Lineage: Eukaryota; Fungi. The record is from RNAcentral.